Molecule: long non-coding RNA, 1294 nt
Filed under: Oryctolagus cuniculus (rabbit)
Lineage: Eukaryota; Metazoa; Chordata; Mammalia; Lagomorpha; Leporidae
Description: lncRNA (ENSOCUG00000035277.1)
Source: RNAcentral
AUGCUAAGAACCCGAGGAGAAGGGCGAGUGUCUGUCCGCGGCGUUUUGCUCUCUCAGUCCGAUGGCAGUGCUGUUUCUCCUUUUGUUCAGGAAGUGAGAGCGGAACCAGACAGAGAAAGUGGCGGUUUUAGGAGACCCUGCCUGGGGCUGGAGCGGCUGCUAGUGGCCCCUCAUCCUGUCGCACUGGCUCCAGGGGGACCACACGGCCAGAAGGGCCAUGCCUGGGGCCGGGCAGGGAGUCUCUGCUCCAAACCUAUCCUCACUUGGCUUGGUUCCCUCCCUGCGUGUCCUUGACAGGCAAAUACAUCAAAGCAGUUACUUUAAGGUUAGUUCAGCUCAUUAACUCGUUUUACCUUGAUGUGUUCUAAACUCUGUGUGUUUUUGCUUUUUUGUUCUAUGUUAUUAUUUUAAAGAUUUAUUUAUUUAUUCAUUAACUUAUUUAUAUAUUUGAAGCGGGGGGAGAGAGAGAGAGAGAGAGAGAAACACACGCUUCUAUCUGCUGGUUCACUCCCCAGAUGUCUGCAAUACCCAGGACUGGGCCAGGCUGAAUGCAGAAGCCAGGAACUCCAUCUCGGUCUCCCAUGUGGGUAGCAAGAACCCACAUAUUUGAGUCAUCAUCUACCACCCCCCAGGCACAUUAGCAAGGAGCUGGGUUGUAGGCAGAGUAGCUGGGGCUUGAACCAGCACUCCAUUAUAGGACGCAGGCAUCUCAAGUGUUGGCUUAACCCACUAGGCCACAACACCUGCCCCUGUUCUUUUGAUUUCUAAACCACAAACCAAGACACAGCAUAGAUAAGACCAUUAGAAUUAUUCUUUAAAAUCAAUUGCUCUUCUCUGGCCUCAGAAUCAGCCCUAAAGGCACUCGGAUCUGGCUGAAAAGCCCAUGAGAGUAUUUCAGGCAUGGAAAGCCAAGACACUCUGGCAAAAAGAUCUCUGUGAGUGAGAUCCCAGUGGAAAGAACAGGUCUUCAAAGAGGGAGGUGCCUUUCUCUGAAGAGAGGAGAGAACCUCCACUUUGACUAUGACCGUGUCUAAACAAGAUAAGAGUCGGAGAACUCAAGGGGCUUCCAUAGCCUUGGAAACUCAUAACUGGUGCAUAGGGAGAUUACUGAUGCCAUAAACAGGAGUGUCAAUUGGUAAAGUCAACAACAGGAGUCACUGUGCACUUACUCCUCAUGUAGGAUCUCUGUCCUUAACGUGCUGUACACUGAGGCUUAAUGCUAUAACGAGUACUCAAACAGUAUAUUUCACUUUGUGUUUCUAUGGGGGUGCAAACGACUGAAAUCGUUACUUAA